RNAcentral lists this long non-coding RNA (767 nucleotides) under Ananas comosus (pineapple). RNAcentral describes it as "long non-coding RNA (ACOM_LNC025553)". The record is from RNAcentral. Lineage: Eukaryota; Viridiplantae; Streptophyta; Magnoliopsida; Poales; Bromeliaceae.
GAUUCCUAAAUUUUAAUUUGUUAUGAUUUUUAGCUCAUACAUUCUAAAUUGCUGUAAUCAAAUACUGCAGUUUAAUUAAGUUGAAUAAAUAGUGAUGUAUUUUUCAUAUGAUAGUGAUCUAGCAGUAUUGUGGUCGAUGAUGCACGAAUGAUUAAGAUUCCACAUUGUUACCAGUUCAGCAACACGUCAAUAUCCAAUCAACCAAAUUAUACUAUGUGCUUUAAUUGAAACAAUUUGAAAAUUUUUCGACUUUCUAAUUUACCCAUUUUAGAAAGGUAAUAUUAAAAAUACUUUUUUUACGUUCCAAUCUAUUUUCAAUAUACCCCUAUAGUUAAAUUUUGUUAAUAAACUGUUAUCAAUAGUUGUUAUAUUUAAAAAAUUACUAUUUUACCCUUUCAAAUAUACCCUUCUACCACCAACAACUUUUCUUAUUUGCCUUUAAGUUAAGGACACAAAAAGUAUUUUGAUUUUUGGUCUUUUCAAAUAUACCCUUUUGCCAUCACAAAUAUUUCUUAUUUGCCCUUAUAAGGACAAAAGAAGUAUUUUAAAUUUUUUUAACUCUGCUAAAUAUUUAACUCACGUUUAAGCUAAGUUAACUUAACGAGUAGAAAUAGCAGGGUAUUUUGGAAUAACGAAGAAACAAAUGAGACGUAAAUUGAAAAGAUAAAAAAAAAAAAAGGGAUAAAUAAGAUAUUUUUAAAGUUUUGAACGAUAUAUAAGCAAUUAUUCCAAAAAUAAACUGUAAAAGUUGUAUUCAGUUUGAAAAA